RNAcentral lists this long non-coding RNA (1154 nucleotides) under Homo sapiens (human). RNAcentral's name for it is "HSALNT0327429". The record is from RNAcentral. Lineage: Eukaryota; Metazoa; Chordata; Mammalia; Primates; Hominidae.
CACACAGAAAAAUUCAUAUCAAUCAAUGACUGUGUCCAUCAAAGUUCAAAGCUAAGUCAAAUAGUUUUAGAGAUGGAAUGCCCCACUAUGGACUGUCUUAAUUAUAAAGAACACAGAGUUCUUGAUUUUCUUAGCUCUCUGCUUUUUCCCCUUUUUCUCAUCCAGGCUGACCUUUGGCUAUCUUAUUGCUUACCAAUAUUAUUUUUCACCAGGAAAAGAGAUGACACUCCUAACUUCCCUUAGCUUUUUGUAAUGUUGGUAAAAAGUUUUGUGGGGUAUGCAACUGAAGAUAGUUUGGGGAUUACCUGGGGCUAUUCUUUAGGUUUUAAUCCUAUCGUCUCUUCAUGUAUAUCUUUAUUUGAAUAUUCUCUAUUUGGGGUUAAUGGCUCUAACUUAAGGAUGUCCUCCUACCCGAUCUUUUAAUAACUUUAUUUUUCCCUAGCUGAAAAUCCAAGUCUUCUUCAUUCUAGUGUAGGGACCUGUAAUUAUCCUGAAGAGAGAGCAUGAGAAUUCUGUUUCAUUUAUGUGAGGAAUAACUGACUUGGGGUUGAAGAAACUCAUAGGUGACGCUCAUUUCCAGGAUAAUUUUUCUUCUCACAGCCAACAGAUAGUCCUUGAACCAAAAGGAAUUAUGAGAACUCUGCUUAUUUUUGGAAACAUGAAGAAUGAUGAAACCUGUUCAGCAAUGCAUAUUCAUCGGACUGCAGAGGUUUAAUGACAUCAGGGAACCAAACGGAUAAUCCAUAGUACCUGCAAAGACAAAGAAAUCAGCAGAAAUGGAGUAAGACAUCUGACAUCCUGGCCCCAAUAUCUUUCUCAUCAUUCCAGUCUGCUCUGAGAAACUCUCUCUCCUAGUCUGGUGGUACAAACUCCUGGGAUCCAAGCACGGUGAGAGCCCCUAAAGAAUGACCUCUUUUGCUAAUGGGGAAUCUUUCUUGGUUCCUACACUGCUGUGAUACUGCUAUCCUGGGGGUAGAAUGCCAGUUCCCAAGGUAGUUAGAGGCUGGGAAGAGGACAUUCGUGUUAUUCUCAGAGAUUCCAAGUUAUUUCCCCUUUCUGCCUCUUGACCUCUAAUGUGUUAUUCUAACAGCUGUGUCAUGCUGCUGUACUGUUCAGUACAGAAGCCACUAACCACGUGUGCCUACCAGGCAGUU